Molecule: ribosomal RNA, 497 nt
Filed under: uncultured bacterium
Lineage: Bacteria
Description: partial 16S ribosomal RNA
Rfam family: Bacterial small subunit ribosomal RNA
Source: RNAcentral
GGUGAACGCUGGCGGCGUGCCUAAUACAUGCAAGUCGAGCGAACGGACGAGAAGCUUGCUUCUCUGAUGUUAGCGGCGGACGGGUGAGUAACACGUGGAUAACCUACCUAUAAGACUGGGAUAACUUCGGGAAACCGGAGCUAAUACCGGAUGAUAUUUUGAACCGCAUGGUUCAAAAGUGAAAGACGGUCUUGCUGUCACUUAUAGAUGGAUCCGCGCUGCAUUAGCUAGUUGGUAAGGUAACGGCUUACCAAGGCAACGAUGCAUAGCCGACCUGAGAGGGUGAUCGGCCACACUGGAACUGAGGCACGGUCCAGACUCCUACGGGAGGCAGCAGUAGGGAAUCUUCCGCAAUGGGCGAAAGCCUGACGGAGCAACGCCGCGUGAGUGAUGAAGGUCUUCGGAUCGUAAAACUCUGUUAUUAGGGAAGAACAUAUGUGUAAGUAACUGUGCACAUCUUGACGGUACCUAAUCAGAAAGCCACGGCUAACUACGUG